GUGGGGAAUAUUGGACAAUGGGGGCUACCCUGAUCCAGCCAUGCCGCGUGAGUGAUGAAGGCCCUAGGGUUGUAAAGCUCUUUCGCAGGUGAAGAUAAUGACGGUAACCUGAGAAGAAGCCCCGGCUAACUUCGUGCCAGCAGCCGCGGUAAUACGAAGGGGGCUAGCGUUGUUCGGAAUUACUGGGCGUAAAGCGCACGUAGGCGGAUUGUUAAGUUAGGGGUGAAAUCCCGGGGCUCAACCCCGGAACUGCCUCUAAUACUGGCAAUCUCGAGUCCGAGAGAGGUGAGUGGAAUUCCGAGUGUAGAGGUGAAAUUCGUAGAUAUUCGGAGGAACACCAGUGGCGAAGGCGGCUCACUGGCUCGGUACUGACGCUGAGGUGCGAAAGCGUGGGGAGCAAACAGGAUUAGAAACCCCGGUAGUCC
This 425-nucleotide ribosomal RNA is filed under the name uncultured bacterium. RNAcentral's name for it is "partial 16S ribosomal RNA". It matches the Rfam family "Bacterial small subunit ribosomal RNA", at positions 354 to 796 of the family's 1533-position model. The record is from RNAcentral.